CUCUGCUGUCUGCAUGUUGGAGCUUCACGGGGGGCGGAUGACCACACACACACACACACACACACACACACACACACACACACACACACACACACACAAACACUGGCGCACACACCAGACGCCAGCCACCACGUCACUUCUGUUUACUGAUAGCUAGCGUUUACCUCAGGCUAAUGAAUUAGCUAGUAAGUGAUGAUUUUUGGCAGCCAGCCUUCCAAAAGAUAGCACAAUGAAAUUAAAUGUAACGAUCAUUAACCGUUGACUGACAAGCAGGAAACAGAGUCUCAGUUCACCGUCCGGGAGCCUCUGACACACUUUCCGCACUCUGUGUCCGCGGACAGCUGUAGGCUUGUACCGUUAAUGUUCUGUGCAUUGUCGGACACAUGCAGCCAGUUUCCUGAAACCGCCUGCGAGACUGACACAAGUCCACAGCGGCCCGCGGCGUGUAUGUCCGAGCCUGUCUCCACCGCCUCCACCUGCAGGUUGUCAACUGUGUGCUUUGGAAUGAAAGGGAGAAAACAGGACGCCAUGUAACACGGCGGAUAUCGCUCAAAUACACUUUUGUAACCCUGCUAUAUAGCUAAUUCAAUGUGAGUACACUAAUGUUGAAAUGACAUACAAUUCCCAUUCCUUGUAGCCGUGAUAAAUUAGCCUGAAGCUAUUGCUCACCUGUUCAGGAAGAAAUUAGCCAACUCGGCGUCCUUUUGGGCUCUAAGCUGUCUCCAUCUUUCAAAUACAUCUCCAAUAUUUACCCGGGGUUUGUUACAUCUCUGGUCACGCAACUGUUAGAUUCUACCCGACCUAAAAAAAAAUGUCUAUCUCCGUUGAGCCUGUUAGUUUGUUUUGCUGCUUUCAUGGCGCGCUGGGUUUACAUUUUUACAGGUAUAUCUGGCAAUCUGGCCUGGCUGUCAAAACAGAAAUCGUGUGGACUGAAGUCGGGCAGACUCGGCGAUUUAAUGAGGUCCGUGAAAACGGAGGGAGGAAGAAGGUAUCCAAUGCCCUAUCUCGACCGAUAAUGGCACGACAAAGAUAG
RNAcentral lists this long non-coding RNA (1033 nucleotides) under Sander lucioperca (pikeperch). RNAcentral describes it as "lncRNA (ENSSLUG00000022539.1)". Lineage: Eukaryota; Metazoa; Chordata; Actinopteri; Perciformes; Percidae. The record is from RNAcentral.